UACGUAGGGUGCAAGCGUUGUCCGGAAUUAUUGGGCGUAAAGAGCUCGUAGGCGGCUUGUCGCGUCGGCUGUGAAAACUCGGGGCUCAACCCCGAGCCUGCAGUCGAUACGGGCAGGCUGGAGUCCGGCAGGGGAGACUGGAAUUCCUGGUGUAGCGGUGAAAUGCGCAGAUAUCAGGAGGAACACCGGUGGCGAAGGCGGGUCUCUGGGCCGGAACUGACGCUAAGGAGCGAAAGCGUGGGGAGCGAACAGG
Molecule: ribosomal RNA, 253 nt
Filed under: uncultured bacterium
Lineage: Bacteria
Description: partial 16S ribosomal RNA
Rfam family: Bacterial small subunit ribosomal RNA
Source: RNAcentral